RNAcentral lists this ribosomal RNA (473 nucleotides) under uncultured bacterium. Its description in RNAcentral is "bacterial SSU rRNA". It matches the Rfam family "Bacterial small subunit ribosomal RNA", at positions 335 to 798 of the family's 1533-position model. The record is from RNAcentral.
ACUCCUACGGGAGGCAGCAGUGGGGAAUAUUGCACAAUGGGCGCAAGCCUGAUGCAGCCAUGCCGCGUGUAUGAAGAAGGCCUUCGGGUUGUAAAGUACUUUCAGCAGUGAGGAAGGUGGGUAUGUUAAUAGCAUAUUCAUUUGACGUUAGCUGCAGAAGAAGCACCGGCUAACUCCGUGCCAGCAGCCGCGGUAAUACGGAGGGUGCGAGCGUUAAUCGGAAUUACUGGGCUAAAGCGCAUGCAGGUGGUUUGUUAAGUCAGAUGUGAAAGCCCGGGGCUCAACCUCGGAAUUGCAUUUGAAACUGGCAAACUAGAGUACUGUAGAGGGGGGUAGAAUUUCAGGUGUAGCGGUGAAAUGCGUAGAGAUCUGAAGGAAUACCGGUGGCGAAGGCGGACCCCCUGGACAGAUACUGACACUCAGAUGCGAAAGCGUGGGGAGCAAACAGGAUUAGAUACCCUGGUAAGGCUCUA